RNAcentral lists this ribosomal RNA (496 nucleotides) under uncultured bacterium. RNAcentral describes it as "partial 16S ribosomal RNA". It matches the Rfam family "Bacterial small subunit ribosomal RNA", at positions 29 to 507 of the family's 1533-position model. The record is from RNAcentral.
AUGAACGCUGGCGGCGUGCCUAAUACAUGCAAGUCGAGCGAACAGAUGAGGAGCUUGCUCCUCUGACGUUAGCGGCGGACGGGUGAGUAACACGUGGAUAACCUACCUAUAAGACUGGGAUAACUUCGGGAAACCGGAGCUAAUACCGGAUAAUAUAUUGAACCGCACGGUUCAAUAGUGAAAGACGGUUUUGCUGUCACUUAUAGAUGGAUCCGCGCCGCAUUAGCUAGUUGGUAAGGUAACGGCUUACCAAGGCAACGAUGCGUAGCCGACCUGAGAGGGUGAUCGGCCACACUGGAACUGAGACACGGUCCAGACUCCUACGGGAGGCAGCAGUAGGGAAUCUUCCGCAAAGGGCGAAAGCCUGACGGAGCAACGCCGCGUGAGUGAUGAAGGUCUUCGGAUCGUAAAACUCUGUUAUUAGGGAAGAACAAAUGUGUAAGUAACUAUGCACGUCUUGACGGUACCUAAUCAGAAAGCCACGGCUAACUACGUG